RNAcentral lists this long non-coding RNA (231 nucleotides) under Nicotiana benthamiana. RNAcentral's name for it is "long non-coding RNA (NBEN_LNC013916)". The record is from RNAcentral. Lineage: Eukaryota; Viridiplantae; Streptophyta; Magnoliopsida; Solanales; Solanaceae.
GACGAUCUUACUCGGAAUCACAUUGGAAUGUCCUAAGGCGAGAAGAGGAAUCGUAGAUGCAAGUCAACUAGCCUCGGUCCCUUGAAGACCCUGGAGAUGGCAAGAUUAAUGUGAGGGAGGCCAUUGGAUGACUGGGAGGUGGUGAGAAGUCAUUGGAGAUGUACAUGGAUGAUGUAAGUGAGGUUAUCAGGCUAAGGUUUUAAGAGCAUUUGAGAGCAAAGAGGGGUUUCA